GCACAAGCGGAGGAACAUUGUGGUUUAAUUCGAUGAUACGCGAGGAACCUUACCUGGGCUUAAAUGUAGAGUGUCAUUUUUUAGAGAUAGAAAUUCCCUUCGGGGCUUUCUGCAAGGUGCUGCAUGGUUGUCGUCAGCUCGUGCCGUGAGGUGUCGGGUUAAGUCCCAUAACGAGCGCAACCCUUAUCGUUAGUUGCCAUCUGGUAAUGCAGGGGACUCUAGCGAAACUGCCACCGUAAGGUGAGAGGAAGGUGGGGAUGACGUCAAAUCAGCACGGCCCUUAUGUCCAGGGCUACACACGUGUUACAAUGGUCGGUACAGAGGGCAGCUACCUGGUGACAGGAUGCUAAUCUCGAAAACCGGUCUCAGUUCGGAUCGAAGUCUGCAACUCGACUUCGUGAAGCUGGAUUCGCUAGUAAUCGCGCAUCAGCUAUGGCGCGGUGAAUACGUUCCCGGGCCUU
This 461-nucleotide ribosomal RNA is filed under the name uncultured Sphingobacteriales bacterium. RNAcentral describes it as "bacterial SSU rRNA". It matches the Rfam family "Bacterial small subunit ribosomal RNA", at positions 923 to 1382 of the family's 1533-position model. The record is from RNAcentral. Lineage: Bacteria; Pseudomonadati; Bacteroidota; Sphingobacteriia; Sphingobacteriales.